This 199-nucleotide long non-coding RNA is filed under the name Capsicum annuum. Its description in RNAcentral is "long non-coding RNA (CANN_LNC019379)". The record is from RNAcentral. Lineage: Eukaryota; Viridiplantae; Streptophyta; Magnoliopsida; Solanales; Solanaceae.
GAGAAAUAGCGAUAAUUUACCGUGUAUAUUAUCGACUUAUGGGUACUACCUUAGCUCCUAAAGCUAGGUUCACCAGCCCUAAAGGGGUUACCACUCUUAUGGAAGCUAACAAAGAUCGUAGCACCGUCUUUGUUCCAAAGGCUCUAGUCUGGGAGGAUAUCCUCCAGCAAAAUGACUGGCACUUCGAGGCCAUUACCCG